RNAcentral lists this ribosomal RNA (328 nucleotides) under uncultured eukaryote. RNAcentral describes it as "partial 18S ribosomal RNA". It matches the Rfam family "Eukaryotic small subunit ribosomal RNA", at positions 1470 to 1796 of the family's 1831-position model. The record is from RNAcentral.
CCCUUAGAUGUCCGGGGCUGCACGCGCGCUACACUGAAGGAAUCAGCGUGCUAAAACCAUUGUCGAAAGGCAUUGGUAAACCCAUUAAAAUCCUACGUGAUUGGGAUCGGGAAUUGCAAUUAUUUCCCUUGAACGAGGAAUUCCCAGUAAGUGUGGGUCAUAAGCUCGCGUUGAUCACGUCCCUGCCCUUUGUACACACCGCCCGUCGCUGCCCGGGACUGAGCCGUUUCGAGAAAAGCGGGGACUGCUGCUGUCGGGGCUUUCGGGCCUUGGCUUCGGUGGAAACCGCUUUAAUCGCAGUGGCUUGAACCGGGCAAAAGUCGUAACA